Molecule: long non-coding RNA, 5663 nt
Organism: Gasterosteus aculeatus aculeatus (three-spined stickleback)
Lineage: Eukaryota; Metazoa; Chordata; Actinopteri; Perciformes; Gasterosteidae
Source: Ensembl
UGCGAUUCAUCUCUACUGCGCCUCCUAGGCUUCCGUAGUCCCGUUUUUCCUUCACAGUAGUGUUACACUGUUGAAGACCCUGUGUGUAGGGAGCUGAUGUGCAGAGACCAGAAGGCAAUGUCUGUGUUUUAUUGUCUUCUGCAGGAGCAAAUAAAUGCUGAAAAGAUCAGUACCUGAGUCGACUACUUCCAUGCCCUAAACACAUCUGUUACACAUACAUACACACAGCCAAUAUAGAUUUGCAUUCGCUAUAAGAUACAUAUUUCAGUCUGAAAAAGACAAAGUUCAUCUUCAAUAUGUUAAAGAAGAAUAAUUCUACAUACAUCAUCUGCUGAUUCCUUAUGAGCCUGACCCCUGCCUGAGUUCUUUGGGCCUAAAAUGUCUAAAUGUAAGAUUCUAGGCUGAUUGUGAUUGCUGAUAGCCAAAAAGGACCCACCAUUGAUGCCUGAGGAUCACCACAAUGUGCCUUGACCACACUAACAGAAUGCAUAAUAUAAUAUGUAGUCAUGCAGAGGCAAGGAAUGACUACCAAAGACAUUAUCUUGAAAGCAAAGAGGAUAACCAGAGAUUAGAAUGGCAUUUUAUUAUAAACGCUGCAUCUACGAACACAGACAGUUAAAUGUCAGCUUGAUUUGAGAGUCGGUGCUGUGCUGUGAAUCGAGGCCAUCAAGAAAAAACUGAAGAUAUACUGUUUGGGUAAAGGGCAACACUUUCUCCACAGACCGUUAUAAGUGACUCAAAACGAGUAUUAAUUAGAAUGUCAAAGAAUCAAGAGUCGGCAUUUGCAUGACAACUGAGCAAACUCAUUGAUGAGGAUGAGGAUGAGGAUGAAGGCUCUGCAGCAACAUAGCGAGAGGUGCUUGAGUUGGAGCUGUUAAAUAGUGUCUUGCGGUCUUUUACUGUUUAAGGCAAAACAAUAGCAAAUAUUCCAGCAUGCCCGAUACUGGGUAUUUUGUUAGCAAAACACACAUUUAAAUAUGUUGAAUAUUAAUAAACAUUGAAUAAAGAUGCGACCCCGCUCUGUUUAGCAGCGGGGACGCGGCUCCCGGGCUCCAAGGCUCUGAGUCGCUCAUGUGGUCUGGACGCUUGAUGAAAUGGAGUCAUAACGGAACUAUGUGUGUUCAUGAGUCCUCCUCCUCAGAUGUUACGUUUUCACAUUAGCGUACCUCUAGUCUGACGGAAGUCCGUUUUUUUUAUUGUGAGUCAUUGCAACUACAAGAGGUCCUUGAGCUUCGAGUCGGAAAAAAAUUAAGCUAGAUAAUGUCAGGCAGAUGCAGAGACAAUAGAAUGGAUUACAUAAGACCAUUUUGUUGAUUCAUACCCCGCAGACACAUCUAUCUCGACAUCGCAAACCCUUUAAAGGUUAACGUCUUGCAUCACUAAGUAAUUAAAGCACGGAGCUUGAAAACGAUUGAAUUAGAUGCACAAGAUUCAUUUUACAAACAUUUCUAAACAUCAGUGUCAGAUUAUCUUUAGCUUAAAAAGCAUAUUCCUUACCACAAUUUCUAAAUUGCAAUGCGUUAUAAGUAUGAUUGUAAUAAUAAGUUAUAGACAGUCAUAUUAGAGUUUUCUGACAUUUAGUUGUGGUGAGCCGGAUCCCUUUGAUGGUAACAGGAUAGCUGCUUCCUACUGAAUGAGUCAUGGAAAAUGCCAGAAGAAAUUCAACUCUUUUGACCAUUUACUGAUGGGGCUUCGCCAGGGUUCAGCUCCUUCUACAAUGAAGAUUCAGAUUUUAAAUGUCAUUGCCAGCGUGAAGCAGCAAAGCGGUCGAAGUGGGUCAAGAAGCAUUGUGUUCUCAUCGUCUGCAGUGAAGGCAGAGCAAUAGCGAAGGCUGGCCAGAAGCAUGUCGUGCACAUGACAGUGACUUUCUCGCUCUCUCCAAACAACUAAGAUACAGGCCCAUCUACUCAACCCCUGACCCUCCUUUGGCACUUGUUUUCUUACACACCAGCGUGUCAGAACAAAACUGUUUCUGAAGUUAUCGGGCCGCGACACACAAUGCGUAUAAUUGAAUUUUUCAAAUGGCUGGCGCCUCUUGCAAUGUUCUCAAAAGAAGACAACUGCUGAACUACGUCCCCAAAGGAAAAUGGUCUUCCAUAUUGAGAGAUAGAAAAACACCACAAUUAGAAUUAGAAAGUGCAGUUAAUAUCCAUUUGCUUGACUGUGCAGUGCCCUUGAAUAACAUACACCGGUGACCUGUUGAUUGAAGAUUACUAUUAUUUCAAUCAGCGUCUGACUUUGAAAAGUUUGCUGCAGGUCCUAACAGUGUGCUCAUAACUGAAAAUGUUGGAUUUCAGAAUCCUAUGGCCUAUAUAUGAAUACCUGAUUUGGGUUAUUUGCAUAUAAAACCCUUUCUGCUGCAGAGAGGGGAUUCUCAUCUACAAAGUGCUGUCAAACACCUAAAACAUUCGGGGGCUUAAAUUAUUCAAUUAUAAUGAAAAGAGAAUCUAGAACAUUAGGUUAUUCAUCAUUUAGCCUAAUAACAAUUUUAACAUAAACUGCAAUUUUCAUCAAAUGAAAGAAGAGUGGAGUCUCGUGAGGUUGAUCAGUAUAAGCGUGAGAUCCACAACCCGUUCUAGUGAUGAGGUGCUGAAGAAAAUGGAGGCACACAAUGGGAUCAAUAUCCAUUUCAUGCUUCUGAGUUACCAUUGGCACUGAACAAUUUAUUGAUGCAACAACUCCAUUUCGACCUUUUCUGUGUAUAUACACGUUGAUAUUUAGGGGAAUUUGGUCAUUUGGAAGCUGAUUAUGUCCUUGAGAUUCAUUUUUGGACAUAAUAGGGAUUUGAUCACGAGUGCGGGCACCCGAUGUUUUCUGGGACAAUAAGAGCCCAUUGUUUCAGUAUCUCAUCGCAGAGCUACAGUGUAGCACACUUUGAAACGUUUUGUAUAAUUAUAUAACAAUGAAUUAUAGAAAACUGCUUUGCAUAUGAUUUUUAAAUAUGCAUCAAGAGUGACUUAACACCGAAAUAAAACACUGAAAUAAUCACUGCAUUCUCUUCACCUGAGGGAUGUGUCACAGACUGCUGAAUGAUGAACAUGUAAUACCUGCAUUCCUUGCAAAAACAAAAACAAACCCUGUUGUAUAAUUAAUACAGGUGCAAUGCAUGAAGGAGAAUAAAAGUGGCCCCUAAUGCUGCUUCAAUGUGGGUUUUUGGGACACUGGAGCAAGCUCAAAAACACUAUAUUACUUUAAAAAGAUACGGUGAAUGUUUUAGCAGCAAUUCAAACAUCCUGCAGAAAUGGAUGAAAAUAAGAAUUCAUCUGAGACUUUCUUGGAUUUAGUAAUGUCAGGUCAAUAUGCACUCAUCUUCUUUUAGAUUUAUUUAGGUCUCCACCAACUCCUCAUGGAAAUAUCCGGCCCUUUGGCCACUAAGUGCUCUGUGUACUGGCAUCAGCUGCUGGGCAGGUAGUAUUGCAGAGUGGGGCUUCAGAGAUUAUUUGCUCAAGGCAGCUGCGUUCAGCUGCUGGAAACAAGCGACUGAAUUAAAAUAAUAAAGUUAAAGGCUAUAAAACUACAACAAUGAGCAUUAAGCAGGACUGGAAAGAGUUCCAAACAAUUGGUCACCUAUGGACACUCAUAACACACAUAACACUCAGGUAUUAAAAAGGUAAAUAGUAUAUCUGCAGUUAUAAAAGUGGAAAUCCUUAUGUUCAUUUGAAAUAGAAAAAUGCUGCAUACGGCACAAUUCCUUGGUUUUCACUCAACCAAUCAAAGGUUUGAACACACCUUCUCAUUCAAUUGAACAAGAAAGUGUCUCCAAACCUUUGAUUGGUUGAGUGAAAACCAAGAUAUUGUGCCGUAUGCAGCGUUUUUCUAAAUGUCACCACACCCUGCCGGUGUGUAAUCCUACAAAUAUUGAAGUAUUGCAAUACUUUCAUCUGUGGACUCAAUCCCCAUUGUGGAUCCUCCCUUGGAAAAGGAUAAUGACUUACAAAACAUUUGUUUCGAUAAAAUAAAUACAACUACUUUAUUUUGAGGAGAAGCCUACAAAAUAGAUUGUAUCCAACAUCAGCUUGCAUGCAUACUUGCAAGUGACUAUCGGAGAGGCUGAGUAGGGGGAGAGUAUCCUGCACACGCGCUUCCUUCAAUAAAGUCAAGGAUCCAGGGACUGUGAUUUGCUGUUUAUUGUUGGAAACAGACAUAACGUGCUGGUUGACCAAAAAAGGGUCUAACAGAAUUUGUGGCUUGGAUAUUCUUGGAUACAAGUGUGACAGCAUCAGCAACAGAACAUGUGCAAACCAACAGAUUGGUGAUCUUUCUUCAGGUUAAUUGUUACACAGUUGCUACUCCCUGCAACUCUGGCUCAAUGCUGUCCUUCAACCUGUUGCCCGAGCUAUCCAGUAAUGUAAUAAAUCCAUCAAUACUUUAUGUCCAAGGAUUUUACGGGACAACCGCCGACACGUGGAGCGGGUGUUAAAGGGUUAAAGACAUGGACAGCGGGACUAUUCAUACUCAAGGGAUUUGUUGUUUUUGUUCUGUCCACUCUCCUGUUUGUUUUUUCAAUACCAAUGAAUUUGAUUGAAAGUGCACUUUGCAAAAUGAGACAAAAUGUUCUUCUUGGUUUUAUGAACCAUUUUCCAAUCUCAUUAGAAUUAGCUCAGACUCUGUCAAAGGCUGUUAUUCUUUCAAACAUAUUGAAGAUAUUCUACACAUCGAUGUCAGCAGCCCAUUCUUGACACAUGACUAAACAUUCCCAUCUUGCAGUGACAGAGUAGCCGACCUCCUUGUUGACCUCUUAAUAAAUGGGUUGUGUUCAUGCCCCGUUGCGGUCGGGGGGUCUGCAUUAAACCGAGGAAACUGCUCAGGGGCUCAAUAUUUAAAGGCCAUCAGAAGUGCUUUCAAGGUUUGCGAUCCGGCCAGGCUGUUCACAUUUCACCGUGUGACACUGGCCUUGCCGAGGGGUGAUGGGAAGGAUGCAGCCACCGUGACGGUGAGGGAUGAAGGACACAACUCGGUGCUAUAAUAUCAGGGUCAGUAUCACCGAGACAACCACAGGUUUCGCCAGCAUUUCACUUUCUGUCCGGAGUUUAAUUGCACACGUUUUGUAAUAUUUACCACACAACUGCAGCACACUGCAUACGAUGUCACGGUGAUCACCACGUCACGUGACUCAGUAUAUGAGGCUUGACCUCCAGCAACAAGCAAGUGCUCGGACUCUAUUAUUUUGACCUCUAACUUCUUGUCCACACUGCAACAAAAAAAAAACCAUUUACUUUUAUUUGGCAGUAAUUAGAUCAGUUUUUCACUAGAAUGAGUAUUAGAAUAUUGUAGACCACUAAAGUAUGUUUUAUUGUUUGUAUGCAACAACCAAAUAAUAAUCAGAAUUAUUGAUGUACAUGUACAUAAACAUAUUAUAUACAUACGAAUUACACAACUGGGUCAAAAUAUGUUUUCCAUAUUAAUGAAUCAGAUUUCAUGCCAAGAAAUUAAAAUAUAGUGUUAUUAGGGGUGUAACGAUUAAUUCGAAUCGCGAUUCAUGGUUAAUUUAGAACGAUUCGAUUCGAUUCAGUGACUUGAGGCAGGCAAAGUUUCUGAGAUCCCUGUUGUUUCUUGUAAGGAAAUCAGGUUUAAAUUAAUUAUGGAUACUAUAAACAAGCAAACAACAAUUAAUGGCAAAUGUAUGAACCUUUUAUUUGAAUCAAGUGCCAUUUUCAAUGAAA